UACGUAGGGUGCGAGCGUUGUCCGGAAUUACUGGGCGUAAAGAGCUCGUAGGUGGUUUGUCGCGUUGUUCGUGAAAUCUCACGGCUUAACUGUGAGCGUGCGGGCGAUACGGGCAGACUAGAGUACUGCAGGGGAGACUGGAAUUCCUGGUGUAGCGGUGGAAUGCGCAGAUAUCAGGAGGAACACCGGUGGCGAAGGCGUUCUGCUAGGCCAAGACUGACACUGAGGGACGAAAGCUAGGGGAGCGAAUGGGAUUAGAUACCCUGGUAGUCCACGCCGUAAACGGUGGGUACUAGGUGUGGGUUUCCUUCCCUUGGGAUCCGUGCCGUAGCUAACGCAUUAAGUACCCCGCCUGGGGAGUACGGCCGCAAGGCUAAAACUCAAAGGAAU
RNAcentral lists this ribosomal RNA (390 nucleotides) under uncultured Mycobacterium sp. Its description in RNAcentral is "bacterial SSU rRNA". It matches the Rfam family "Bacterial small subunit ribosomal RNA", at positions 524 to 910 of the family's 1533-position model. Lineage: Bacteria; Bacillati; Actinomycetota; Actinomycetes; Mycobacteriales; Mycobacteriaceae. The record is from RNAcentral.